CAGUAGCCACGGUAAUACGUAGGCGGCAAGCGUUGUCCGGAAUUAUUGGGCGUAAAGGGCUCGCAGGCGGUUUCUUAAGUCUGAUGUGAAAGCCCCCGGCUCAACCGGGGAGGGUCACUGGAAACUGGGAAACUUGAGUGCAGAAGAGGAGAGUGGAAUUCCACGUGUAGCGGUGAAAUGCGUAGAGAUGUGGAGGAACACCAGUGGCGAAGGCGACUCUCUGGUCUGUAACUGACGCUGAGGAGCGAAAGCGUGGGGAGCGAACAGGAUUAGAUACCCCCGUAGUCCCUGUCUCUUAUAC
Molecule: ribosomal RNA, 301 nt
Filed under: uncultured bacterium
Lineage: Bacteria
Description: partial 16S ribosomal RNA
Rfam family: Bacterial small subunit ribosomal RNA
Source: RNAcentral